GCCAAAGAUAGAAUUUUUAGAGUAACUAACAAGGGUUUACUGGGCCGUCGAGCGGAUCCAGCCAAGGAUCAAGGAUAAGGUAGAUAGAUCUCACGCUUUCCUCCGCCUUUUCCUCGCAGGCUCGCACCCACGGCUGAAUUCCCGCCUCAAAAGAGGCGCCCGGCGACUCACCGGUCACCUCUUGUGCUCUUGCUCUCGGCUCGUGCGCCACCGCUGCCUCUACUGCUCCUCACGAGAGGCACGUACUAGUACCGGUAUAGGGACAGUAGAGCUGCGACUGCGAGCAACGACUCCACUC
Molecule: long non-coding RNA, 298 nt
Filed under: Setaria italica (foxtail millet)
Lineage: Eukaryota; Viridiplantae; Streptophyta; Magnoliopsida; Poales; Poaceae
Description: long non-coding RNA (SITA_LNC001341)
Source: RNAcentral